CAUCACUACGCUAGAUGCAUAUCAAUAAGCGGAGGAAAAGAAACUAACAAGGAUUCCCCUAGUAACGGCGAGUGAAGCGGGAAGAGCUCAAAUUUGAAAUCUUCAAGGUUUGACCUUGACGAAUUGUAGUUUAAAGAAGUGUUUUCGGUUAGAGGAGUAGUAAAAGUUCUUUGGAAUAGGACAUCAUAGAGGGUGAGAAUCCCGUAUUUGACUAUUCUUUCUAGCUUUGUGAUACACUUUCAAAGAGUCGGAUUGUUUGGGAAUGCAGUCCAAAAUGGGUGGUAAAUUUCAUCUAAAGCUAAAUAUUGGCGAGAGACCGAUAGCGAACAAGUACCGUGAGGGAAAGAUGAAAAGAACUUUGAAAAGAGAGUUAAACAGUACGUGAAAUUGUCAAAAGGGAAGCGUUUGACACCAGUGUUGUUUUUCCGAAAAUCAAUUAAGAAUGUUGAUUUUGUAGAAUUGUAUUGACCUUACAGGCUUUCUGCCUCUUUUCCUGAACUUUUUUAAUGCACUUUUCGGUUAACAAGUCAACAUCAAUUUCUUUUGUUGUAAAAGGGUAUGAGGAAGGUGGCUUUCUCUUCGGCGCAAGUGUUUAUAGCCUUGUAUCUCUGCAAUCGGAGAGAUUGAGGUCUGCAGCGUAGAUCCUUCGGGGUUAGAUACAUUUGUGCUAAGCUAUAGCCUUGUAUAGACAACUUGUUGACUAUGCUCAGUCAUGUAGCUUACUCGCUUAUGCUAUUUUACCUACGCUUAGGAUGUUGAUAGUCACAGCGUGUAC
Molecule: ribosomal RNA, 775 nt
Filed under: uncultured Neocallimastigales
Lineage: Eukaryota; Fungi; Neocallimastigomycota; Neocallimastigomycetes; Neocallimastigales
Description: partial large subunit ribosomal RNA
Rfam family: Eukaryotic large subunit ribosomal RNA
Source: RNAcentral